CGUAGGGGGCGAGCGUAGUCCGGAUUUAUUGGGCGUAAAGAGCGUGUAGGCGGCCGAAUAAGUCUGACGUGAAAUCUGGAGGCUCAACCUCCAGCUGUCGUUGGAAACUAUUCGGCUAGAGUCCGGAAGAGGAGAGUGGAAUUCCCGGUGUAGCGGUGAAAUGCGCAGAUAUCGGGAAGAACACCUAUGGCGAAGGCAGCUCUCUGGGACGGUACUGACGCUGAGACGCGAAAGCGUGGGGAGCGAACAGGAUUAGAUACCCUGGUAGUCCACGCCGUAAACGAUGGGUGCUAGGUGUGGGUGGUGUCGACUCCAUCCGUGCCGAAGCUAACGCAUUAAGCACCCCGCCUGGGGAGUACGGCCGCAAGGCUA
This 372-nucleotide ribosomal RNA is filed under the name uncultured organism. RNAcentral's name for it is "bacterial SSU rRNA". It matches the Rfam family "Bacterial small subunit ribosomal RNA", at positions 526 to 896 of the family's 1533-position model. The record is from RNAcentral.